Molecule: long non-coding RNA, 938 nt
Organism: Patella vulgata (common limpet)
Lineage: Eukaryota; Metazoa; Mollusca; Gastropoda; Patellidae
Exons: 3
Source: RefSeq, a predicted model, not a curated record
UAUUUGGUCAAAAUGGCUAUAAAUACUCGUGAUGUCACAUGUCCGGUGGUCCAUGGGGCUAUAUAUAGAAGUAGCGGCAAUGUUUCUGAUAAUAAAUUUGAGAGAUUUAUCAAGGUGAACAGAGUAAAACAUGGGGAGAUUAGUAUACAGGUUUAUCAUCAUGUUCAGUCUUAUAUCUACAUGUAUGGCCACUCCUAUUUUUGAAAGAGGAAGCCUACUAAAUCGUUUACAACAAACUGUCAAUCAAAUAAUAUCCGAAAAACAGGCAGGGCGGCCAAAUCCAUUCUGUAUCUGCCCUUCUCCUCCAUGUUCCUGCCUCACAGGGAAUCUCAUUGGAUAAUUGGCAUCAUUAACGUCAGAAGUUUUUAAAGGGAAAAAACCCUACUACACAUUCAAUGUAAAUUAUCUGUAACGGCUAGAUGGCGCUUCAUUGGUAAUGGGCAUUAUAAUAGAUGUGGUGUUUAAAUGGUAAUCUGGUAGUAAGGGAAGUAUGCGAUAUGACCGAAAAACCUAAAAGUGACAGUGAUAGAAUACUUUUGUAAAGUAGACUUUAAAAGUACUUCUAUUGCACGGUGCUAGUAGAUAUGGUGGAAACCUAUGUGUUCGUUUCCUCAAAUAAAUCAUAAUCUCAGACUAGAAAAUCAGUGUAAUUUUACAUCGACAGUGGCGUAACCAGGCAACCGAUUGAUGCUGAACGGACUCAGGACCUUAGCCUGAAUCGGAACUGCAAUAUUACAAUUAGGGACGCCACUGUUCAUUGAAUAUGAUAUCCAAUCUCUUGAAAUGGCGUCAAAUGGCGGUAAAUAACGAAGGGCGACAACUCAACUGCCAUGUUUUUGAAUGGGAAAUAACUCUGCCAUUGUUUGUUUCAUAUUUUGAAUCUCAUGUUAUUGUAAAUAUAUAUGCAUAGUUUAUUGCCACUAUUUUUAUUAAUUUAU